Long non-coding RNA from Mauremys mutica (yellowpond turtle), 399 nucleotides. RefSeq lists it as uncharacterized. The transcript has 4 exons. The record is from RefSeq and is a predicted model, not a curated record. NCBI's taxonomy places the organism in Eukaryota, Metazoa, Chordata, Testudines, Geoemydidae.
AACAACAUCUCUCUGCCCCUUGGGAGGGUAGACGUGCCAGUGGCAUGGGUGUGCCACACUGUCCUAGCCAGCUCUAGUAUGGGCUCGUUAAUCAGGAGGGCUAUUCUUCUGCAGUCAGUGAAAGUGCUCAAGAUGAUGUUACCUUGGAAUAGAAGAGACUCUAACAACAAUUCAACACUGAUCUGAGCUGGGCAAAUCUCAUUUGAUACUACAGAGAACAGCAUGCAGCAACUAGAGGUCUAUAAAAGCCCCUGAGAGAUUUUAGCAGAAUUUCACAUUUGCAUGCUCACCCAGUUUGUGAAACAGACCCAUAUUACCUAACUGAAUGAUAUGAAGUCUUGGACUGAUGAUCAACACAGCUGCUUUGACCACUUGGCACUGUAAGAGGAUUCUGAAUAU